This 468-nucleotide ribosomal RNA is filed under the name uncultured bacterium. RNAcentral's name for it is "partial 16S ribosomal RNA". It matches the Rfam family "Bacterial small subunit ribosomal RNA", at positions 28 to 507 of the family's 1533-position model. The record is from RNAcentral.
GACGAACGCUGGCGGCGUGCUUAACACAUGCGAGUCGAACGGAAAGGCUCGGCUUUUGUGGGCGGCUCGAGUGGCGAACGGGUGAGUAAUACGUGGGUAACCUGCACUUCCCUUUGGGAUAACUUCAAGAAACUCGGGCUAAUACCGGAUAGGAGCUCCUGCUGCAUGGUGGGGGUUGGAACGUUUCCGCGGUUGGGGAGGGACGCGCGGCUUUUCAGCUUGUUGGUGGGGUAGUGGCUUACCAAGGCCUUGACGGGUAGCCGGCCUGAGAGGGUGACCGGACCAGUUGGGCCGGGAAUACGGCACGGCCCAGUCUGGGAGGGAGGGGUGGGGAGGAGUAUAUAAUGGGCGGAGGGCAAGCGUAGCCACGCAGCGCGGGGGAUGAGGGGAUUGGGGUUGGAAUGCGAUGUCGCCUGUGCCGGAGCGUUGGUGACGGUAACGGGUAAAGAAGCACCGGCUAACUACGUG